This is a long non-coding RNA of Biomphalaria glabrata, 2687 nucleotides long. RefSeq lists it as uncharacterized. The transcript has 2 exons. The record is from RefSeq and is a predicted model, not a curated record. Lineage: Eukaryota; Metazoa; Mollusca; Gastropoda; Planorbidae.
UUGUAAACAAGUUACGGUACCCAAGUUACAAUGAAAACUUUUUUUUUUAAUCUGGGAUCUAAAUUCUAGAUCAAGAUUAUUCUAGAUCCAAUCUAGAUGUAGAAUAAUAAUCUAUCUAUCAUCUAGUAGAUCCAUGGACGAUUAAUUAUAGGUUUACUAGAUCUAUAAUUAGACUAGUCUAGUAACUAGACUCUAGGCCUCCGCCUACUACUUAGUCUUAGUAACUUAGUACUACUAGUCUAGGCCUAGGGAGAUCUAGAUCUAGAUUCUAAAUCUAGAAAUCUAGAUGUUCAAUGAUGUUGUGAUCAUCGUAGCCGACCCAAAUUUCAGCAUGAAGUCGAGCCCUAUUAUGCAGUCAUCUGUGUCUUGCUAUCUGACCGGAUGGCUGAUCGUGUGGCACCAGUAUCAAGGAGAAAGUGGUAGUUCUGACCUCCAAUUUUUCCGUUGACUUUUAGGCUCCUACUCUGCCCUAGCACGGCGACCAGGAUUACGGUUGCAGGGAGUCUCAUUCUCUUUGUCGCCGGGUUCCGCCCCUUUGAAGCCGACCUGUGCUAGUUUUCCUGGUAGCCCCUGAAACUUUGUCGUGCAUACAUUUCUGAUCUGUGAUGGGUUCCGGUUUGUCGAAAUCUUCUAGUGCAGAUUCUUUGUAUAUGGCCAAGUUCACCACAAUUCCAAAUUCGUACAGGGGCCCUAGAUUGAUCUUCUGGUAUCUGGGUUGUUCGUUGUUCAUCCAGUGCCUCUGUCACCCUUCUGACAAGUUGUGCGAAUCUUUGACUUCCAGCCUUUGGCCUUGAUGAGUGCUCCCACAUGCGUCUUUAGCAGCUUCAAAUGAGAGAGCGUAUACUAGGGCUUCGCUGGCCUUGAAUUUAGCACUAACUCUGGUGGCUUUCUUCAACUCAUGGUCUCGAAGCGCAUCAAAGAAAGCGUCUGUAAUGAUGUGCGGCGGUUGAAUAGGACGAAUGUGCGAGGCGUUCGAUGUCUGUUUCAUCGGGGCGCUGUUGUCGGGUCUUCAUUUGUACUCGAUAAACUUCUUGCAAAUGUGCAUCCCCGUAUUUUAGUUCCAUAGCUUGUACGAGAGUGGCGAAGUCUUGCUGGUUCGGUAGAGAUUGAAGCAGUUCGGAUACCUUUCCUCUUAGAGAGAACAUAAGGGCAGUUCCUUUCUUCUCCUCGCUGUUCCAUUUGUUAACUUUAGCGGGUGCCUCAAAUUGCUUCUUGUACACGGACCAGGACACGGAACCAUCAAAUAUGGGGGGAUGGGAAGAGGGCUUCAUGUUCGGAGACUUCCGUUACAAAUGACGUCAUAUUUGUUUCCGAUGCAUUAGUGUGCUUACAGUGAACUUGCGUCUUUAAUUCUUCGAUGGCCUUCUCCACUGCGUCAACUCUCUGAUUCAUCUGUUCAUCAAUAGUGGUGAUUCUUUCCUCCACAGCAUGUGUGCGUUGGUUCAUAGCCAAUAACUCGAUUUUGAUUCCCGAGUCUUUGGUAUUUAUCUUGGAGUACAUGGCAUAUAUCUUGGAACUGGUGUUUCCUAGCCCCGUAUUCAUCUCUUCUCGCAUAGAGUUCAAGAGCCCCUCCAUAUCUGAUUCGACUUCCAAAAGAUACAUGAGGAAAAGGAAGGGAGAUAGGAUGCACCCCUGUCUCACACCUGUCUAGAUGCUAAAAAAAACUCUGUUGUUCCUUCUUCUGUUUUAAUGCAGCAACUAGACUGACUGUAUAUGUGUCCUAGGAUCUGGACGAAUUAUUCUGGGAUUCUCAGGCUAUUUUCCAUAGUGAUUUUCGCUAGACACUAUCAAACACUUUCUUAAAGUCUACGAAAUUGAUCGUUAGCCGUUGUUGAUACUCAAGACUUUGUUGUAUGAUAUUUCGUAGAACGAAGAUCUGCUCUGCAAAUUAUCUGCCUCUUCGGAAGCCUGUUUGUUCUUCUCUGAGCCUCUUAUCUACAGACUGUUGAAGCCGUCUCAAUAAAACAGUACUGAACACUUGUGCUGACUAGAUCAAAGGCUUUUAACAGGUCGACAAAUAUACAAAGGCAUCCUUUGUUCUCUGUUUUUUUCCUGAAGUUGAUGGAUGGAGAAAAUCGUAUCAUUUGUGGAUCUCCCGGAGGGAAAGCCGCACUGUGAUUCUGUAUACACCCGAUCAGUAAGUUUUUGUAGUCUGGGAAGUAUCACUUGAGCAAAGACUUUGCCUACAAUACUUAGUAGGGAGAUUCUCCUGUUAUAUUUGCAAUCGCUUCUGUCACCUUUGUUCUUACACAGACUGAGGAAAAUCAGAAGACAGGAGAAGAGGCAAAGGCGAGCAACCGGCGCCUAAACUAGCACGCUUCCUGCAGGAGGGGCUCGUUAGCCUUGGUUGGCUACCCAUCUAGGAGAAAGAAAACUCUGAAUGCAAUACAAAUGUUUUAUAGCUAAACUUGACAUUUCCCUUUGGUUUAUUUAAGAAAAAUGAAUUGCUUUAGGUCUGUAGAUUCAACAUUUUUAUAUUCUCUCAAUUUUGUUAAUACUUGGUAUCUGUUUUUUUUGUUUUCUUCAGGCCAUCGAUUGAUGAUUACAAGACAGAAAAAAAUUGAAUGAGUCAUUGAACAAUAAAAAGAAGGAAUACCAAGUUCCUGGCCAUUCUACAUCAUUUUGUUUUCAAAUUGUAUACAAAGUAUCAAUUGAUCUUGAAGAUAUUAAAGUGUUAAAAUAAUCAA